ACGAACGCUGGCGGCGCGCCUAACACCUGCCAGUCGAACGGAGUCAAGAGGAGCUUGCUUUUCUUGACUUAGUGGCGAACGGGUGAGUAACGCGUGAGUAACCUGCCCUGGAGUGGGGGACAACAGUUGGAAACGACUGCUAAUACCGCAUAAGCCCACGGAUCCGCAUGGAUCUGCGGGAAAAGGAUUUAUUCGCUUCAGGAUGGACUCGCGUCCAAUUAGCUAGUUGGUGAGGUAACGGCCCACCAAGGCGACGAUUGGUAGCCGGACUGAGAGGUUGAACGGCCACAUUGGGACUGAGACACGGCCCAGACUCCUACGGGAGGCAGCAGUGGGGGAUAUUGCACAAUGGGGGAAACCCUGAUGCAGCGACGCCGCGUGGAGGAAGAAGGUUUUCGGAUUGUAAACUCCUGUCGUGAGGGACGAUAAUGACGGUACCUAACAAGAAAGCACCGGCUAACUACGUG
This 467-nucleotide ribosomal RNA is filed under the name uncultured bacterium. Its description in RNAcentral is "partial 16S ribosomal RNA". It matches the Rfam family "Bacterial small subunit ribosomal RNA", at positions 29 to 507 of the family's 1533-position model. The record is from RNAcentral.